Molecule: transfer RNA, 68 nt
Filed under: Metacantharis sp. UPOL 000M14
Lineage: Eukaryota; Metazoa; Arthropoda; Insecta; Coleoptera; Cantharidae
Description: tRNA-Phe
Source: RNAcentral
AUAUUCUAAAGUUAAUUAACUUCCUUGAUAUCUUCAAUAUCAUGCUCUAAAAUAUAAGCUAUUAAAAU